RNAcentral lists this ribosomal RNA (421 nucleotides) under uncultured bacterium. RNAcentral's name for it is "bacterial SSU rRNA". It matches the Rfam family "Bacterial small subunit ribosomal RNA", at positions 355 to 772 of the family's 1533-position model. The record is from RNAcentral.
UGAGGAAUAUUGGUCAAUGGGCGCAAGCCUGAACCAGCCAUCCCGCGUGCAGGAAGACGGCCCUAUGGGUUGUAAACUGCUUUUCCAGGGAGAGAAACCUGCGCACGUGUUGCGCAAUUGACGGUACCCUGGGAAUAAGCAUCGGCUAACUCCGUGCCAGCAGCCGCGGUAAUACGGAGGAUGCAAGCGUUAUCCGGAUUCAUUGGGUUUAAAGGGUGCGUAGGCGGACUAUUAAGUCAGUGGUGAAAGCCUGCAGCUUAACUGCAGAACUGCCAUUGAUACUGAUAGUCUUGAGUUUGAUGAAGGUAGGCGGAAUGUGUAAUGUAGCGGUGAAAUGCUUAGAUAUUACACAGAACACCAAUAGCGUAGGCAGCUUACUGAGCCGACACUGACGCUGAGGCACGAAAGCGUGGGGAUCGAA